UAGAUACCCUGGUAGUCCACGCUGUAAACGAUGAUCACUCGAUGUUGGCAAUAUAUCGUCAGCGUCCAAGCGAAAGCAUUAAGUGAUCCACCUGGGGAGUACGCUCGCAAGAGUGAAACUCAAAGGAAUUGACGGGGGCCCGCACAAGCGGAGGAGCAUGUGGUUUAAUUCGAUGAUACGCGAGGAACCUUACCUGGGCUUAAAUGUAGGACGACCGUCCCCGAAAGGGGAUUUUCUUUCAGACGUCUUACAAGGUGCUGCAUGGUUGUCGUCAGCUCGUGCCGUGAGGUGUCGGGUUAAGUCCCAUAACGAGCGCAACCCCUAUCCUUAGUUGCCAUCAGGUAAUGCUGGGGACUCUAAGGAAACUGCCUACGCAAGUAGUGAGGAAGGUGGGGAUGACGUCAAAUCAGCACGGCCCUUAUGUCCAGGGCUACACACGUGCUACAAUGGUCGGUACAGAGGGCAGCUACCUGGUGACAGGAUGCAAAUCUCGAAAGCCGGUCUCAGUUCGGAUCGAAGUCUGCAACUCGACUUCGUGAAGUUGGAUUCGCUAGUAAUCGCACAUCAGCCAUGGCGCGGUGAAUACGUUCCCGGGCCUUGUACACACCGCCCGUCAAGCCAUGGAAGCUUGGGGUACCUGAAGUCCGUGAUCGCAAGAAGCG
Molecule: ribosomal RNA, 662 nt
Filed under: uncultured Bacteroidota bacterium
Lineage: Bacteria; Pseudomonadati; Bacteroidota
Description: bacterial SSU rRNA
Rfam family: Bacterial small subunit ribosomal RNA
Source: RNAcentral